UUAUGGGUUUUUAAUUACACAAAUCAGGCCCACAUAUCGCCUUGGUUGCUCCGUCGCUUCUCUUCGAUGUUCUCCUUCUCUGUUUCCGCCUGGAAUGAAGUUUAAGCUUGUCUGCUCAUCUAUGGCUUCUUCCUUCUCCUCUCUGAAAGGGUUCAUCUAUGGCUUAUGUUUUCCUUGGGGCUUUUGGUGACACUUUUCACGUUCUCAUUCGUUGAAGUUUUAAAUCGUUUUGGGGGUUUCCAUUGAAGCGUGAAGAUGACAAGUAUUCAACCUCUGCUACAAAAAUCAGAGUCUAUAGACGAUGUUCCUGCCGAAUUUGAGCGAGGUUUCGAUUCAUGCGCGGGCACUUAGACGAAUGCAUCUCUUUUGGUUCUAUUCACACCCAAGAAGACGAGGACGAUGAUAAUGAUCAACUUGUGAGGAGGAGACGAAGGUGAAAACGUGGCUGAAUCAUCUAGAAGGCGCCAAUCUUAGAUUCUCAGCCGUUGGGCUGCAAGGCAGGCUCAGGAGAUGAUUACCACCAUUGAGCAGGGGAACCGUGAAUCUGAGUUGAUCGCGUUGGCUGGUUUGCAAACCGUCUACAUGCUUGAUUCAUCUUUCCUUAGGGAGUCUCAGUCCACGUCUUCGAGGCGUCAAGGUGCUGCUACUGAGAGGCCUAGGACUCAAGCGUUUGGGAUCCUGUGAAUGUGGAGGGAGUUGGAAGAUGAGCAUGUGCUUAGAAGGGCACGUGAAAGGUUGAGGCAUCAGAGGAGUGUUGAGUCUAAUACUUCUAUUGUGAAUGUGGAUUUAGCUCUAUUGCUUUGGAGAACAAUGAUUAGGGAUCUUAGUCACAUGAUCAGAAUGAGCAUUGGGGUAACAAUUCUUCUAGAUUUUUCAUAAUUUUCAGGAUUCCAUGAUGUGUAAGUGUAUCGAUCCAAAGGUACCUGCACGGUCUGAACUGCAGUUUUUUGGAGUCAAUGGUUCCGGAGUGUCCCCCUGGUGAGAAGGAUGUAUUUGAUAUAAGAAGCUUUAUCAGGCGACUUCAUUGAGGUUGUUUUUUUCUUGAAAAAAAACAUAUUAUAUAGUUGGAUGUGUAACUGAUACUUUUGCAACUCUUUGUACGAUUGAAACGA
This is a long non-coding RNA of Raphanus sativus (radish), 1112 nucleotides long. RefSeq lists it as uncharacterized. The record is from RefSeq and is a predicted model, not a curated record. The transcript is spliced from 2 exons. Lineage: Eukaryota; Viridiplantae; Streptophyta; Magnoliopsida; Brassicales; Brassicaceae.